UACGUAGGAUGCAAGCGUUGUCCGGUUUUAUUGGUUUUAAAGGGUGCGUAGGCGGCCUAUUAAGUUAGUGGUGAAAACGUUCGGCUUAACCGGAUACCCGCCAUUGAUACUGAUAGACUUGAGUGCGACAGAGGGUGUUGGAAUGUGUGGUGUAGCGGUGAAAUGCUUAGAUAUCACGCAGAACACCAAUUGCGAAGGCAGAUGCCUAUGUCGUAACUGACGCUGAGGAACGAAAGCGUGGGGAGCAAACAGG
This 253-nucleotide ribosomal RNA is filed under the name uncultured bacterium. Its description in RNAcentral is "partial 16S ribosomal RNA". It matches the Rfam family "Bacterial small subunit ribosomal RNA", at positions 524 to 776 of the family's 1533-position model. The record is from RNAcentral.